ACAACAGCGACGUACUGUCUCACAGGUUGGGAGGCCGAGAGUCCCAGAUCACGGUGUCGGCAGGCCGUGCUCCCUCUGACGGCUCUCGAGGAGGAUCCUUCUCGGCCUCUUCGGGCUUCUGGUGUUGCCAGCAAUCCUUGGUGUCCCUGGGCAUACAGGGGGCCACUGCACUCACACAGCUGUCUGCUCCUCCUGUGUCUUCAUGUCGUCUUCCCUCUUUGCAGGGCUGCAGGCUCUGGGAGGUUAGGACGCUCGCCGAGGGUUUGAAGCCGGAUUAGGAACCCAAUCCCUCCAAUGCCUGGAAAGAAAGCCGCGCAGCCAUGAUUCAGGAGCCAAAGACACAGCCCGGAGAAUGUGAGCGGUGAAACUCCUCAGGCAGUGGUUCUCAACCUGGCAGGCGACACAUUAGAACCACCGGGGAGCUGAAAAAGUAUGCACUGGCCCCACCCCAGCCCACUGGAGGUCUAAUUGGUGAAGAGUGGGCCUGGGCAUCAGUCUUUGUUAAAAGCUUCUCGUGUGUGGCCAGAGUUGAGAACCACUGGAAUUCUCUCCUCAAAUUUCUUCAACAUCAAUCAUUUCGGGGGCUGGUUAAACACCAGCUGUUUGGCUCUCCCCUAGUUUCUGAUUCAGUGGUCUGAGGUGAGGGCUCAGAAUCUUCUUCUUCUUUUCUUUUGGUGAGGAAGAUUGGUCUUGAGCUAACGUCUGUUGCCAAUCUUGCUCUUUUUGCUUGAGGAAGAUUGUCUCUGAGCUAACAUCCGUGCCAAUCUUCCUCCAUUUUGUAUGUGGGAUGCUGCCACAGUGUGGCUUGAUGAGCAGUGUGGAGAUCCGUGCCUGGGAUCCAAACCCACAAACCCUGGGCUGCUGAAGCAGAGUGCACCAACUUAACCACCACACUGCCGGGCUGGCCCCAGAAUCUGCACUUUUAAUGUGCUCCCAGGACAUGCUGCAGGCUGUUGGUCUGGGCAACGCUUUGAGAACUGCUGCCUUCCGCGCUAGCUCAUGACUGCCCUGAUUCUCCCCAAGCCACAGGGUUUUCUGCUUUCUGCCCCCACAGUCCUGGCUCUUCCCUCUGCACUGCUCUGCUCUUGGCUGAGCUCUGGGCUACCCCUGACAGGGUGUAGAAAAAAAUUGUUUUUAUUUACUUUUUUUAAGCCCAAAAGAGAUUGGAGUGCUUCAAAAGGCAUUCCAUCUGAGAGGGAAACGACUCCCCAAAUGGGCAACUAAACACAUCGCAGUGGACACACUUGGAGGUGGUGGGGGUCAGGCUCUGGACCUGAGAGGCACGCUCGUGGGCGAGUUGUUUGCUGUCUCUAGGAAUUGGCUAGCCCUGGGGGGUCAGCAAGACCCCAGAUGUCAAAGCAGCAGUACACGGCCGCGGUUAAUGAAGACAUGGGUAACAAGCCGGUUCGCAGAGAAACGGGGAGUGGCUCUGAGCAGAGCAGACAUGGCAGCGGUGUUCCCUGCAGAUCUAUUUUCAAUCUCUCUUAAAAACACUGUCUCGUCCAUAAAAUAUGCAUUGGUGUGUAACUGCCUUUGUCCUCUAGGCUCAGCCAGUGUCUCCCACGCCAGGUUGGCGGGUGUGACCGUCAUCUUCUCUUUCCUUUCUGGAGUGUCCCUUGGUCACAGUUCCUGGACCAAGGCUAGCAGCAGCAGUGUGCAGGUGCUGGCCUCCCCCAGGCCCAGGGUGUAAACACAAUAGCUUGAGCAGUGUCGGGUGAGGUGGGGUGAUGUGGUGACCACACUGAAUGUCAUUUCCUGUGAGAGCUGGAGUGCUAGCCCAUGACAGGACAUUGAGGAACAUGGAUUCUCCCUUGUGAUUAGCUUCAGCAGAGGCCCUCAUUCCAGCUGUCAAAGUAUGCUGAGCCUGCCCGUGACUGCCUGCCCUGGGGCCGUGAGGGUUUGGAAGACGACAGCUCCAAGUCAGGGCUCUGCCUGAAGUGGGCACGGCUGUUGGAGGGCCAGCAGGAUACCGCACUGAGACAGGGUUUCCGUGAGGCUGGGUCUUACAUAACGUGACACACGGGUGAGAAGGCAGUGGGUGUAUCUGGGGCCCUGCAGGGUGACUCAAGCACCAUCAAUGCUUUCCAGAAGCAUGGGGCUCAGGCGUCAGCUGAGCAAAAUUUUCUACAUUACUAAGAGAUUACUAGAAUUAGAAGUAUUAGAAUGAGUAGAAAGCACAGAAAUGUCUCAUGAUUCAAAAAACGAACAGCCUGGAAACUGGACGAUAUUCUGGGAGCCGGGGAUAUAUUCAGGUGGGAAGUGGUGCGGGUUGGGCGUGGGUGGCCAGAAAGGCCAUUGGACCCACGACUUGUAGUCACAGAAGGCUGCAGAGGGUGGCUUAGAAGUUGUAGCUCCACACGAGCUAUGCAGACAGUCGCUGAGUUUUGUUGAAUCACUUCUUUUCUAAAUGUCAACACUGAAAACACAACCCGGUGCCUGUCACUCCGUUUUGGCAUGGGUCUGCAACUUUUAAUACACUCGGAGCUUCUUUUCAAUUUUUUCACAUUUUUUGCAGUGGCUGGGGUCUCUCUCCUUGCCUGUUGGAGCCCUGCCACGUGCCAGCUGGAAGCUGUGAUCACUGGUUAACCAGUAGCGGUGGG
This 2600-nucleotide long non-coding RNA is filed under the name Equus asinus (donkey). RNAcentral's name for it is "lncRNA (ENSEASG00005033086.1)". The record is from RNAcentral. Lineage: Eukaryota; Metazoa; Chordata; Mammalia; Perissodactyla; Equidae.